RNAcentral lists this transfer RNA (71 nucleotides) under Cavia porcellus (domestic guinea pig). It matches the Rfam family "tRNA". From Rfam's summary of the family: Transfer RNA (tRNA) molecules are approximately 80 nucleotides in length. Their secondary structure includes four short double-helical elements and three loops (D, anti-codon, and T loops). Further hydrogen bonds mediate the characteristic L-shaped molecular structure. tRNAs have two regions of fundamental functional importance: the anti-codon, which is responsible for specific mRNA codon recognition, and the 3' end, to which the tRNAs corresponding amino acid is attached (by aminoacyl-tRNA synthetases). tRNAs cope with the degeneracy of the genetic code in two manners: having more than one tRNA (with a specific anti-codon) for a particular amino acid; and 'wobble' base-pairing, i.e. permitting non-standard base-pairing at the 3rd anti-codon position. The record is from Rfam by way of RNAcentral. Lineage: Eukaryota; Metazoa; Chordata; Mammalia; Rodentia; Caviidae.
GGGGACAUAGUUUAGUGGUAGAGGGCUUACUUAGUAUGUAUGACACUCUGGGUUCAAUCCCCAGUACCCCG